RNAcentral lists this ribosomal RNA (502 nucleotides) under uncultured bacterium. RNAcentral's name for it is "partial 16S ribosomal RNA". It matches the Rfam family "Bacterial small subunit ribosomal RNA", at positions 28 to 522 of the family's 1533-position model. The record is from RNAcentral.
GAUGAACGCUAGCGAUAGGCCUAACACAUGCAAGUCGAGGGGCAGCAUAGAGUAGCAAUACUUUGAUGGCGACCGGCGCACGGGUGAGUAACACGUAUGCAACCUACCUACAUCAGGGGAAUAACCCGGAGAAAUUCGGACUAAUACCGCAUAAUACAGGGAUGCCGCAUGGCAAUAUUUGUUAAAGAUUUAUCGGAUGUAGAUGGGCAUGCGUUCCAUUAGCUUGUUGGUGAGGUAACGGCUCACCAAGGCAACGAUGGAUAGGGGAACUGAGAUGUUUGUCCCCCACACUGGAACUGAGGCACGGACCAGACUCCUACGGGAGGCAGCAGUGAGGAAUAGUGGUCAAUGGACGAGAGUCUGAACCAGCCAAAUCGCGUGAAGGAAGACGACCCUACGGGUUGUAAACUUCUUUUGUACAGGAAUAAAAGGCAUUACGUGUAAUGUAUUGCAUGUACUGUACGAAUAAGCAUCGGCUAACUCCGUGCCAGCCGCCGCGUAA